AGUGAACGCUGGCGGUAGGCCUAACACAUGCCAGUCGAACGGCAGCACAGUAAGAGCUUGCUCUUACGGGUGGCGAGUGGCGGACGGGUGAGGAAUACAUCGGAAUCUACUUUUUGGUGGGGGAUAACGUAGGGAAACUUACGCUAAUACCGCAUACGACCUACGGGUGAAAGCAGGGGAUCUUCGGACCUUGCGCGAUUGAAUGAGCCGAUGUCGGAUUAGCUAGUUGGCGGGGUAAAGGCCCACCAAGGCGACGAUCCGUAGCUGGUCUGAGAGGAUGAUCAGCCACACUGGAACUGAGACACGGUCCAGACUCCUACGGGAGGCAGCAGUGGGGAAUAUUGGACAAUGGGCGCAAGCCUGAUCCAGCCAUACCGCGUGGGUGAAGAAGGCCUUCGGGUUGUAAAGCCCUUUUGUUGGGAAAGAAAAGCAGCAGGUUAAUACCCCGCUGUUCUGACGGUACCCAAAGAAUAAGCACCGGCUAACUUCGUG
Molecule: ribosomal RNA, 492 nt
Filed under: uncultured bacterium
Lineage: Bacteria
Description: partial 16S ribosomal RNA
Rfam family: Bacterial small subunit ribosomal RNA
Source: RNAcentral